AUGCCAGCCGGCGAAGUGCAGGGGGCUCCCCAGCGACCACUGCACCAGGAUGUGGCCCGUGCGGUUCUCAUACUGGCGGAAGUUGGGCAUGGUGUAGUACUGCCGGCGGCGCAGGCGGAUGCCGUCCAGCCCGUACACCGUCUGCAGCAUGUCCACCGUGCAGCCCGACACCACCUCCAGGCUGCCCGGCUGCUUCCAGAAGAAGCCAUACAGCGACUUGCGCAUGUGGAAGGCGAAGGGCUCCGUCCAGCCGUCGUAGAGCUUGAGGAAGAGCACGCCGUCGCGCGCGGGGAUCUCGUCGGCGUCGUCGAUGAUGAAGACGUCGUCCGGCCGCAGGUUGCGCAGCCGCGACACGCCGUCCUGCGUCAGGAAGGUGCGCAGGUAGUCGUCGGCGAUCCAGCCGUCCUGCCGCCCGCCCGGCGGGAAGUGGUCCAGGAAGACGUACAGCACCUUGUGCCGGAUGUACUCGAAGGUGCCGUUGGUCAGCAUCUCGCGGAACUUGAGCGGCCGCGGCUCCCCGUACGCGGUGAAGUUGGACUCGCACACCACGAAGGCGUCCACCACGUCGCCCAGCUCGUGGAAGCGCACGUCCAGCAGGUCGAACUCGUGGUUGAUGUUGAUGGCGUUGAUGACCCGCCGCGGCACCUCCCGGGGCACCAGGCGCUCCUUGGUGGGCAGGUUGGAGUACUGCACCACGGUGGGCACGCCGCAGCUCGGCCCGUGCCAGCCCGGGAGGCACACGCACUCCACCUGGGGACCUGAGCCAGCCCCAAAGGGUUCAGCUGCUAACCUUGAGGCCAUGUGCACUGUGAGGCUGCCAGGGCUGCCUAGAUGUGGCUCGACUGAGCCUCACGCUCAAGAUCAUCUCCUCUGACCUCUGUCCCACGUGGCUCUGCUUACACGCCUCCUAUGAUGUGCUGCUCCUGUCUCCCUUGACAGCUCUUUUCAGUGGGACAGCUUCAGCUACUAGAAAUCCUAGAUCCCACUGCCUGGAGUUGGUCCAAGCCUGUCAGCUUCUUCACUGGCACCACCAUCCUUCAGAAACUGGUUGGAGUCCUUGCACCACUUCUCCCAGGAUCUUUAGUGGCUCCUCCAAUGCAGGGUUGUCAGAACUUUCCAUCCCGGCCUUUCUCCCACUUGCCCCUGCCUUUCCCCAGACACGACCUGACUAGUACAGCCCGAGGGCCUCUCCCUCCCCUGACAGGCCAACCCUGAGCUCUGUGUGGCCUGUUUUUGCGGUCAGGUUUCUGGCCUCUCUUAUACACUUCCUGCUAGCUGCUACCUGCAGUUAAGUUUCCUCUUUUGUAAAAUAGGAAUAAGACUCAUAUGUCUGCAUAGGGUUGUUGUAAGGAUGGAAUGAGUUUAUACAUGUCAAAAUGCUUAGAAAAUGCAGCUAGUGCCAUUAUUCCUGUUUGCAGAUGGUUACUGUCCAGAAGGGCUUCCCUGUGACUCAGCAGUAGAGAAUCCACCUGCAAAGCAGGAGCCGCAAGAGUUGCGGUUUCGAUCCCUGGGUGGGGAAGAUCACCUGGAGGAGAGCAUAGCAACCCACUCCAGUAUUCUUGCCUGGAGAAUCCNNNNNNNNNNNNNNNNNNNNNNNNNNGUCUAUAGGGUCUCAAAGAGUCAGACAUGACUGAAGCGACUUAGCAUGCAUGUGGUCCAGAAACUGCAGCCACCCUCCUCAGUGACUUCUCCUCCUCUUCUGAAGGUUUAGGGUCAUGGAAUCUUCUAGAUGGGAGGGCCUUUAAAGGCUACUGAGUCCCAGUCUAACCCCAUUACACCAGUGAGGAGACAGGAAGAGGACCCGAAGAGGCUCUGUUUCUGACAUCUUCUCUGGAGGGCAGAGCACCCACCCUCAGCCUGGGACCAGAGCCUUCAAUGAGUUCAGACUUUCAAGGACCUGAUGGCCUCACCCCUCUUGGAAGAUGCUAGCAGCCUGGGCAGGGUGUGGAGAGAGCCAGGGUAGGAGCCUGGAGCCAGGGUUCUAGAACACCCACCCCGCCUUGACUCACCUGCCCAGUUGAGGGGCUUGGCCUUGGGAAUUCCUAAAGGGAGCCUGGCAUCUCCUGGGUCACAAGUCGGUUCUCAUGCUUGCCCCUACAAAGCAGAAGAGGUGACUGAGGCCAGGGAGGGGUGAUGGCAGAAUGAGGGGUGUGGCAGGGCAGGGUGAGGGCCUGCUGAACAGGGACCCUUCUGCCCCAGGGUUCGACUGUGCCAUGGCUUUAAGCCUGCCAGGGUCCCCCAUGCUGGCCCCUCUCAUGNNNNNNNNNNNNNNNNNNNNNNNNNNNNNNNNNNNNNNNNNNNNNNNNNNNNNNNNNNNNNNNNNNNNNNNNNNNNNNNNNNNNNNNNNNNAGGAUGCCGGCAGGACAGGCUCCCCCGGUGCCUGCCCAAAGGGCCGGCAUCACUGCCCCACCCCACACAUUCCUCACUCAGGAGCUGCUGGACAAUCUCUGCCAGCAUCUCACCCAGCCCUACCCAGCGCCCAGUGGGGCUGCCAGCGUUCCCUGGGCUUGAACGAUUGCAAAGAGGAAUCAGAAACCCUUGUGCCUUACUGGUGGGAAUGUAAAAUGGUGCAGCUGGCAUGGAAAACAGCACAACAGCUCCUCAAAAAAUUACACAGAGAAUUACCCUAUGACCCAGCAAUUUUUCCUCUGGGUACGUACCCCAAAGCGCGGAAAGCUGGGACUUGAACAGAUCGUUGUGCGUCCAUGUUCACAGCCUCUUUAAUCACAAUAGCCAAAUGUAGAAGCAAUUCAGGCGUCCAUUGAGGAAUAAAUGGAUAAGCAAAAACAUGGUGAAAGUAUGCCAUGGAAUAUUAUUCAGCCUUGAAAAAGAAGGAAAUUCUUAGAGAAUUCCUUGGCGGUCCAGUGGUUAGGACUCCACUUUCACUGCUGAGGGCCCGAGUUCCAUCUCUGGUUGGGGAACUAAGAUUCCAAAGCCAAAAAAUGGAAAAAAGCUCUGGCAGAUUCUACAAUAUGAGUGAAACUUGAAGGCAUUUUAAGUGAAAUGUUGCUGUUGUUCAGUCGCUCAGGCGUGUCGGACUCUUUGCGACCCCAUGGACGGCAGCACGCCAGGCUUCCCUGUCCUUCACCAUUUCCCGGAGUUUGCCCAAACUCAUGUGCAUUGAGUCAUUUAAGUGAAAUGAACCAGUCCCAAAAGGACAAAGAGCAUAUGAUUGUAGUUCUGUGAGGAGCCAAAUUCAUAGACACAGGAUGGCAGUUGCCAGGAAAUGGGCAGUUACUGUUUAGUGGGUAGUUUCAGUUUGGGAAGAAGGAAAACGUCCUGGAGAUGGAUGGUGGUGAUGGUUGUACAACAAUGCCGCCGGAUUAUGCAACUUAAAAUAGUGAGUAUGGACUUCUCUGGUGCGCCAGUGGUUAAGAAUCUGCUGCCAGUGCAGCGGACACGGGUCCUAUGUCUGGUCCGGGAAGGCUUCACGUGCGGCAGAGCAGCUCAGCGCAUGCACAGCAGCCGCUGAGAUCCAGAGCCCAUGCGCCGCAGCAGGAGAAGGCACGGCAACCGCGAGCCAGAGCGCAGCAGCUAGAGAGCAGCCCCCCUGCGUAACCAGAGAGAGUCCGCUCAGCAGAAAAGACCCCGCACAGCCAAAAUAAAUAAUUUUUGAAGAUGGCUAAAAUGGUAAGUUUUGUUAUGUAUCAGUUCCAUUCACUCAGUCGUGUCCAGCUCUUUGCGACCCCAUGGACUGCAGCACGUCAGGCCUCCCUGUCC
This 3720-nucleotide long non-coding RNA is filed under the name Capra hircus (goat). Its description in RNAcentral is "lncRNA (ENSCHIG00010005945.1)". Lineage: Eukaryota; Metazoa; Chordata; Mammalia; Artiodactyla; Bovidae. The record is from RNAcentral.